This is a long non-coding RNA of Branchiostoma belcheri (Belcher's lancelet), 641 nucleotides long. RefSeq lists it as uncharacterized. Lineage: Eukaryota; Metazoa; Chordata; Leptocardii; Amphioxiformes; Branchiostomatidae. The transcript is spliced from 3 exons. The record is from RefSeq and is a predicted model, not a curated record.
UUUAGCUAAAUAAAAAUCAAUCAAUUUACUUCCUUUAUGAAUUAGUGCUUUUCCCCAUUUUUGGCAGAAAUAUGUGGUUGUGUAACUAACGUGUCUUCUUUUUUUUCGUCACUAAAGUCGACAUAGUCAGACAACAACAUGAAGAUGGCUGAGAUAUUGUCAUUCAUUCAAAUGCUAGGCAACAGAACCGAGAGAGACUGUCACCUGGCAGGACCAUAUUGCUGCCGAGUAGACUGAUCCAACACGGACUUCCAGCUCAGUACCUCUCAGCAGGAGUCUUAUUGGACGUAAUUCAUCGUCCUAACUUCCUUCCUCUGGCCAACACAUCUAGGAUCUCAGACUUAAUGAUGGUGUCGAAGGCCCGGGGCAUGCCUAUCUCAACAGUGUGAACGUUCAAAUGUUUAAAAAACAACAACAAUAGCAAGAAAAACUAAGAAGGUUUGCUUGUAAAGAGAUAACAAUGAGGCAACAAAAAUGCGCCCUGCUCCUGCUGGUCAUGAUGGUUUUGAUAGCCAUGAUUAACAUGAAAGAUCAUGUGGGUCUUUAUUAUAACUCACUGACACAGGAAACACUUGUCAGAGAUCUCCAGGAAAAAGUACAAGAUAAAGGCAAUGGCAGCGUUACAAAUAGAUCGAAAAAUA